This 71-nucleotide transfer RNA is filed under the name Loxodonta africana (African savanna elephant). It matches the Rfam family "tRNA". From Rfam's summary of the family: Transfer RNA (tRNA) molecules are approximately 80 nucleotides in length. Their secondary structure includes four short double-helical elements and three loops (D, anti-codon, and T loops). Lineage: Eukaryota; Metazoa; Chordata; Mammalia; Proboscidea; Elephantidae. The record is from Rfam by way of RNAcentral.
CCACUGGUGGCUCAGUGGUAGAAUUCUCGCCUUCCAUGCAGGAGACCCAGGUUCAAUUCCCGGCCAAUGCA